Molecule: long non-coding RNA, 1916 nt
Organism: Mustela lutreola (European mink)
Lineage: Eukaryota; Metazoa; Chordata; Mammalia; Carnivora; Mustelidae
Exons: 2
Source: RefSeq, a predicted model, not a curated record
GAGGGUGAACAUGUUCAGUUCCUCGGAGGUAAAACGGGUGUCACUUUUUCACUCAAAAAAAAAAAAAAGAAAAAAAAGCCACUUUUCUGAGAACUGCCUGUAAUGCAGGAUUAGAUGGAGCCCGUUUUCAUAGGAGAAGCGGGACCUGCUCACGAGGGCGGCGGCUCUCCUGCCUGCAUUGCGGGCCCCCGGGCGCUGCAGAUGUCUUGUCGUCACAGCUCUGCAGCGAGGGCGAAGAGCCCUGGUCUCCCCCGCGCCUGAGCCGGCACCCACCAGCCUGUGACUCGCGAAAGGGCAAUUCUACUUUCCAAGAGAAAAGGCUAAAAAAAGAAAAGAAAAGGCUGAAGUGCCAGACCUUUUAAGUGGGGACUUGCCAGUGACCUUGCCCAGAACUUCCUGGUGGAGGUGCUCAGCCCUGCCCGCCCCCUCUCCCAGCCUCCCUCCCCUUCCUAAAAGACACAUUCUCAGUCCCUAUAUGUAGUGUCCUUAGCCGUUGGACUGACCUGACAAACCGUCGCUUCUCAGAGGAAUGCUGGUGUCUCAUCGUGGAAGUAUGUGCUCCUGCUUCAGUCCGAGUCGCAGGAGAAGCGCCUCCUCAGCGCCUGGGUUCUUUGUCUUCCUUAUGUCUCUUUCUCCUCCUCCCCUUGUCCGCCACCUUGCCAGGAGAGUCUGGGCAGGGUCCCUUUGCUCUUGCCCUCCCAAGGGACAUGACUGUCACUUGAAAAGCUGGUGGCCUUGGAGCAGGGGGGUCAGGUGAGCAGAGCCAUGAAAUGCAGCCCGGGACAGUCCCUAGAUGCUCUGAAGGCCCCUCACUGGGCCCUCGCUCUUGUGGUCUGUCAAGAACGUGGGUGAGCCGUGCCCUCUCUCUGCGGACCGAGCACACUCUGGAGGAACACCUCGGCCACUGCACGUCGUGUCUCCAAGCUUCCACGUUUGCGAGUGGCCGGGGGCGGGGGGACUUGCAUGUCUCAGAUGAAGCUCCCGAGUGGAAGGUUCGGUGAUGCUGUUAGAACUGAACUGCGGGCGCGGGUACAGACCCGGCCUGACCGGGGGUGGACUGCGUUUUGCACAUCUGGUAGCUAGAUCUCGGCGGAGCAGUGUGUGCAAAGGUGUCCACAUCGAACAGCGGUGGUUGUGCAGUCCGUUCGGGUUUAUCUGUCUGUGGUACUGGGUAGGCAGGUGGGCUGAACAGGACGGUCUCCGUGAACGGACUGAGUCACAAAAUGGAAGGGAAAUUUGAGGGGGAGAAACACAGCCUAAGGAGCAGUUUAUGGGCCUGAGUACUGGUGGCAUUGGGGGCCGUCAUCUUCCUGACAGAGUCCCCGUGGCUCUCGGACGAUGGCACAGGUCACCCUGCAGCCCUGAGGGCACAGGGCCAGCACCUCCACUGUGACAGAAACCGACAAAUCGUUCUGUCUGGGGGUCAUGGAUGCUUGGUUGGCUGUGUGACGUGGUUUAAUGUGAAUAUGAAAGCCCCAGGCUUGUGAGCCACUGCACGCGUGUCCACCAUGAAGCCACCUGAGCAGGCGGGAGCUGGACGUGGUCUGCGCUGUCCGUGCCCGGCGGACCGUGCGAGGCCUCCGUUGUCCUGUCUGCAGAAUGGGCGCAGUGCUGUGCGGACGUCACGGGAUGGGAGGUGGGUGGGAGCGGAGAGUGGCCAAGCUAAAGGCAUGAGGCAGAGUGGGGCUGUCAGCAGCCACCUCUCUUCUUGCAUCGGAAGGCGCGGUUCGGUUCCCGGGACUGAAUCCCGUGUUUCUGGACGGGGAGCUUUGGACGGCAGAGCAGGGCCGCUUGCACACUCGGCGGUUGUUCACAAUGUGAACAGCCUCUUGGCUUCACCACGGAAAGCAUUUGGGAGAAGCUAGAUUAGGAAACACGCUUGAAGAUAAUUUUAAAUAAAUGUGAGUGACACCGUG